RNAcentral lists this ribosomal RNA (207 nucleotides) under uncultured bacterium. Its description in RNAcentral is "partial 16S ribosomal RNA". It matches the Rfam family "Bacterial small subunit ribosomal RNA", at positions 568 to 774 of the family's 1533-position model. The record is from RNAcentral.
CUCGUAGGCGGUCUGUCGCGUCGGAUGUGAAAACUCGGGGCUCAACCCCGAGCCUGCAUUCGAUACGGGCAGACUAGAGUUCGGUAGGGGAGACUGGAAUUCCUGGUGUAGCGGUGAAAUGCGCAGAUAUCAGGAGGAACACCGGUGGCGAAGGCGGGUCUCUGGGCCGAUACUGACGCUGAGGAGCGAAAGCGUGGGGAGCGAACA